UACGUAGGGUGCGAGCGUUAAUCGGAAUUACUGGGCGUAAAGCGUGCGCAGGCGGUUUUGUAAGCCAGAUGUGAAAUCCCCGGGCUCAACCUGGGAAUGGCAUUUGGGACUGCAAGGCUCGAGUUUGGCAGAGGAGACUGGAAUUCCUGGUGUAGCAGUGAAAUGCGUAGAUAUCAGGAGGAAUACCGAUGGCGAAGGCAGCUCGCUGGGACGGUACUGACGCUGAGACGCGAAAGCGUGGGGAGCAAACAGG
RNAcentral lists this ribosomal RNA (253 nucleotides) under uncultured bacterium. RNAcentral describes it as "partial 16S ribosomal RNA". It matches the Rfam family "Bacterial small subunit ribosomal RNA", at positions 524 to 776 of the family's 1533-position model. The record is from RNAcentral.